Gadus macrocephalus (Pacific cod) is the source of this 989-nucleotide long non-coding RNA. RefSeq lists it as uncharacterized. The transcript is spliced from 3 exons. Lineage: Eukaryota; Metazoa; Chordata; Actinopteri; Gadiformes; Gadidae. The record is from RefSeq and is a predicted model, not a curated record.
UGUUAAUUUGGUAUAAAUGUGGUCAUUAGUUUAUAUUAUAGAAUCAAAAUGUUCAUACUACUCAAACAUAUGCCAAUAAAGAGUAAAACAAGAGACACUGAACAUUUGAAGUGGUCUCUUAAUUUUUUCCGGAGCUGUAUAACCCAGAGUGUGCUCACACAUAAACAAAGUACUGUUCAAACCUGUGUGAUGCUGGAAGUAAUUAUAUAAUCAUGCCUAAUCAGUGUAUGUAACUAAUGAAUAUAUGGACAUCUAUUAACAUUGGAACACAUGUUAUGUUGUUGUUUAUGCAGGAUCAACUGUAGCUAUUAAGUUGGAGAGUGUCACUACAAGAACAGCAUUGUUGAAGGAUGUUCGGCAGUCCCCACAGCAUCAGACCUUUUCCCUGGAGGCCUUUCACUCGCUUAUCCUCCACUUUGCACCUAAGCACACUGGCUUCUCCUUCCUUGGGAUGUACAGCAGGCUUCUCUUGGCAGCCCUGCAUUACAACCACAAUGGAAGUCGAGAGGUUGCACGAACACAUGACGGCGAGGUUCAAUAUGGAGUUCGUUACCCAAGGUUCCGCAAAGGAGGCUGGGUCGUCCGCCCUGUCAAGGAGAAGCCAUCGUACGCUUAUGCAUCUGCCCUUAUGGAGUCUCUGAUUGAGGCCUACUCCAGGUCACCAAGGAGUCUACAAGAGAGCUCAGCUGACUUGUCCUCCUCUGCACCUGCCCCCCUUUCCACAUCCUUCCAGAUGAUCAGCAAGGAUGAAGCUGUUGGCUUGUAUCUUGCACGACACACACGUUUUAACACAGGAAAUUAGUGUUAAACACUGUUAGGUAUUUCGUACACUAUAUUGUAAAGCCAUAUUUAAUCUCAGAGAUAGAUGUGGGACCAUGGAGUUAUGUGGUAUCUGCAUUUGCAACCAAGAGAAAGACACAUCUAUUGGCACAUGGAUCCAUUCAGGGAAAGAUCCCUCUUUACUUGAACUUCUGGAUUCUUAAAUUAUU